RNAcentral lists this transfer RNA (74 nucleotides) under Erysipelotrichaceae bacterium. RNAcentral describes it as "tRNA-Met". It matches the Rfam family "tRNA". Rfam says of the family: Transfer RNA (tRNA) molecules are approximately 80 nucleotides in length. Their secondary structure includes four short double-helical elements and three loops (D, anti-codon, and T loops). Lineage: Bacteria; Bacillati; Bacillota; Erysipelotrichia; Erysipelotrichales; Erysipelotrichaceae. RNAcentral also lists the same sequence under 1 other name. The record is from RNAcentral.
GGACCCUUAGCUCAGUUGGUCAGAGCUGUCGGCUCAUAACCGAUUGGUCGAAGGUUCGAGUCCUUCAGGGUCCA